CCCUUAGAUGUCCUGGGCCGCACGCGCGUUACACUGAUGCAUUCAACGAGCUUAUAACCUUGGCCGAGAGGCCCGGGCAAUCUUGUUAACGUGCAUCGUGAUAGGGAUAGAUUAUUGAAAUUAUUAAUCUUGAACGAGGAAUUCCUAGUAAACGCAGAUCAUCAAUCUGCAUUGAUUACGUCCCUGCCCUUUGUACACACCGCCCGUCGCACCUACCGAUUGGAUGGUCCGGUGAAGCCUCGGGAUUGUGGUUCUUGCCGCUUUAUUGUGGCGUGACCGCGAGAACUUGUCUAAACCUUAUCAUCUAGAGGAAGGUGAAGGCGUAACA
RNAcentral lists this ribosomal RNA (328 nucleotides) under uncultured eukaryote. RNAcentral describes it as "partial 18S ribosomal RNA". It matches the Rfam family "Eukaryotic small subunit ribosomal RNA", at positions 1470 to 1796 of the family's 1831-position model. The record is from RNAcentral.